Ornithorhynchus anatinus (platypus) is the source of this 140-nucleotide non-coding RNA. The record is from Rfam. Lineage: Eukaryota; Metazoa; Chordata; Mammalia; Monotremata; Ornithorhynchidae.
CUCCUCCCUCAGGAUGGCACCUGGAGAGUUUCCAGUACUCUACCAGUCUCGGCUACGGGAGGGAGAGUCAAGCAGAGGCCUACCCAUUCCAUUCCUAGCUUGGGCACUGGCUAGCAAGUGGAAGGCAAUCUGCUACAAGU